CACGUAGGGCGCAAGCGUUGUUCGGAAUUACUGGGCGUAAAGGGCGCGUAGGCGGCCUUCUAAGUCGAACGUGAAAUCCCCGGGCUCAACCCGGGAACUGCGUCCGAUACUGGAAGGCUUGAAUUCGGGAGAGGGAUGCGGAAUUCCAGGUGUAGCGGUGAAAUGCGUAGAUAUCUGGAGGAACACCGGUGGCGAAGGCGGCAUCCUGGACCGGCAUUGACGCUGAGGCGCGAAAGCCAGGGGAGCAAACGGG
This 253-nucleotide ribosomal RNA is filed under the name uncultured bacterium. RNAcentral describes it as "partial 16S ribosomal RNA". It matches the Rfam family "Bacterial small subunit ribosomal RNA", at positions 524 to 776 of the family's 1533-position model. The record is from RNAcentral.